Non-coding RNA from Mus pahari (shrew mouse), 72 nucleotides. The record is from the annotation of a RefSeq genome assembly. NCBI's taxonomy places the organism in Eukaryota, Metazoa, Chordata, Mammalia, Rodentia, Muridae.
UUCCUGGUGGUUUAGUGGCUAGGAUUCGGCGCUUUCACCGCCGCGGCCCGGGUUCGAUUCCCGGUCAGGGAA